RNAcentral lists this ribosomal RNA (422 nucleotides) under uncultured bacterium. RNAcentral describes it as "bacterial SSU rRNA". It matches the Rfam family "Bacterial small subunit ribosomal RNA", at positions 102 to 518 of the family's 1533-position model. The record is from RNAcentral.
ACGGGUGAGUAACGCGUAUGCAACCUACCUAUCGAGGAGGGGAACUAACCCGGCGAAAGUCGGACUAAUACCGCAUAAAACAGGGGCACCGCAUGGUGAUAUUUGUUAAAGAAAUUCGCUGAUAGAUGGGCAUGCGUUCCAUUAGGUAGUUGGUGAGGUAACGGCUCACCAAGCCGACGAUGGAUAGGGGAACUGAGAGGUUGGUCCCCCCACACUGGUACUGAGACACGGACCAGACUCCUACGGGAGGCAGCAGUGAGGAAUAUUGGUCAAUGGGCGAGAGCCUGAACCAGCCAAGUCGCGUGAAGGAAGAAGGAUCUAUGGUUCGUAAACUUCUUUUGCAGGGGAAUAAAGUGCAGGACGUGUCCUGUUUUGUAUGUACCCUGAGAAUAAGGAUCGGCUAACUCCGUGCCAGCAGCCGC